GAGAGGUGUGAGGGGAAGUCAUGCGGAGGUGAACCUGAAUCAGCAGCAGCCUCAUCCUCUGCCAGCAAGUUCAGGCUCUAAGGCAGAAACAACGUGGCAGAGGGUGGCGCCUAGCAACUGCUGCUCAGUGCACGUCAACCAGGAAGGAGACAGGGGAGCAGCACACCGGAGCACAAGGCAACAGGAAGUGGAUGGAGGACCCGAGGCCACAGCUCCAUGACACAUGCAGAUUUGCCUAGAUCCUGAGUGGAUCCCAAAACGAAUCAAUUUGAAACUCCAUUCUACUGAGCGUGGGUAGACUUGUUUCCUGUUAUUCCUGAAACAAGACAAUAACCGCUAUUUGUGCAGUGUUUUCAAUGGUAAUAGGUAUUACAAGGAAUCUACAUAGGAUGUGUGGGAGGAUGUGGGCACGUUUUUUGCAAAUAUGAUGCCAUUUAUUUUAUAUAAGGGACUCAAGCAGCUGCACACCUUGGUAUGGCCACCUGGUGUGUGUGCGUUUGUGUCCUGGAAUUAAUCUCCAGAUGACACCUAUGAAUGACUAUAUUUAAAACAAUGUAUGUUUAAAACACAGAACUAGGGCACUUCCUAAAUGACCUCUCCCCAUACAUAA
Molecule: long non-coding RNA, 610 nt
Organism: Cavia porcellus (domestic guinea pig)
Lineage: Eukaryota; Metazoa; Chordata; Mammalia; Rodentia; Caviidae
Exons: 2
Source: RefSeq, a predicted model, not a curated record